GAACUCUGGAGAACCCCGAAAGGGUGCCGAAGGUGCAACGUACAUUACAAAUGUGCGGAAUCUCUCAGGCAAAAAGACAGAGUUGU
RNAcentral lists this non-coding RNA (86 nucleotides) under bovine gut metagenome. Its description in RNAcentral is "Glycine riboswitch". It matches the Rfam family "Glycine riboswitch aptamer", at positions 7 to 88 of the family's 94-position model. Rfam says of the family: This family represents the bacterial glycine riboswitch. The record is from RNAcentral.